GACGAACGCUGGCGGCGUGCUUAACACAUGCAAGUCGAACGGAAAGGCAGUGCUUUCGUGGGGUGACGGAGUGCCGAAGGGGGGAGUAACAGGUGAGUAACCUGCUCUAGAUUUUGGGAUAACUUCAGGUAACUGGGGUUAAUCCCGUACAGGAGCUCCUCCUGCAUGGUAGGGGUUGGAAAGUCGCGGCGGUCGGGGUUGGACGGGCGGCUUACCGGCUAGCUGGUUGGGUAGUGGCAUACCAAGGCAUUGACCGGUCGCCGGCCUGGGAGGGUGACCGGCGACAUGAGUACUACGAGACGGCGCAGACUGCAACGUGAGACAGCAGUGGCGAGUAUUGCACAAUGAGCGGAAGCCUGAUGCGGCAACGCCGCGUGCGGGAUGACGUCCUUCUGGGUGUGAACCGCUUUCGCCUGUGACGAAGCGUGAGUGACGGUAAUGGGUAAAGAAGCACCGGCUAACUACGUG
This 468-nucleotide ribosomal RNA is filed under the name uncultured bacterium. RNAcentral describes it as "partial 16S ribosomal RNA". It matches the Rfam family "Bacterial small subunit ribosomal RNA", at positions 28 to 507 of the family's 1533-position model. The record is from RNAcentral.